CCCCUAGAUGUUCUGGGCCGCACGCGCGCUACACUGAACAGUUCAACAAGUCUUGACCUUGGCCGAUAGGUCUGGGUAAUCUUUGAACGCUGUUCGUGAUUGGGAUAGACCUUUGCAAUUAUGGGUCUUCAACGAGGAAUUCCUAGUAAACGCAAGUCAUCAGCUUGCAUUGAUUACGUCCCUGCCCUUUGUACACACCGCCCGUCGCACCUACCGAUUGAAUGGUCCGGUGAAAUCUCGGGACGGCGGCUUGGUCGCUUGCGUCCGACUGCUGAAACUUGAUUAAACCAUAUCAUUUAGAGGAAGGUGAAGUCGUANCA
Molecule: ribosomal RNA, 320 nt
Filed under: uncultured eukaryote
Lineage: Eukaryota
Description: partial 18S ribosomal RNA
Rfam family: Eukaryotic small subunit ribosomal RNA
Source: RNAcentral